GACGUAGGGCGCGAGCGUUGUCCGGAUUUAUUGGGCGUAAAGGGCUCGUAGGCGGCCAACUAAGUCGGACGUGAAAUCCCUCAGCUUAACUGGGGAACUGCGUCCGAUACUGGAUGGCUUGGAUUUGGGAGAGGGAUGCGGAAUUCCAGGUGUAGCGGUGAAAUGCGUAGAUAUCUGGAGGAACACCGGUGGCGAAGGCGGCAUCCUGGACCAAUAUUGACGCUGAGGAGCGAAAGCCAGGGGAGCAAACGGG
This 253-nucleotide ribosomal RNA is filed under the name uncultured bacterium. Its description in RNAcentral is "partial 16S ribosomal RNA". It matches the Rfam family "Bacterial small subunit ribosomal RNA", at positions 524 to 776 of the family's 1533-position model. The record is from RNAcentral.